ACAUGACAGAGGUGCAUAUAGAAACUUCAUGGGCCUAAUGAGCUUUUGAGCCCAACCGUGUGGCCAAGAGAAGAGUGGGAAGUAUCAGCUCAAUCCACUUCCACAUUUCCCUUGUUUCAACUUCGUUUCACUCCCAAGUAUGCUUUCUCGCUGAAACUAUGCUCCGUCGUGCCGGAGGCGGCGAAGUUUUCUAUAUUAACCAAACACUACCACCGAAUCGCUCCUCUCAACAUCCUAUCCCUCAAUAUUUCCUCAAUUAAUUCCAAAACCUAACCAAUUCUCUGAAUUGAACAAAGAACACAAUGAAACCUAAACUACCAAAUACGAAAUUAAACGCCAACGAAGCUUCAAUCUGAACUCAAACUUUAGGGGUUUGGUUCGGAUACAACAAGGCUACAUUGCAGUGACGGAAUUAAAGCGAGAAUAAGAGGAAUUGAGGACCUACUUGCGAUACCGUUGUUUGUCUCAGACUUUGUUGAAGAUGAAGCUGAAUAUUACACAGAGAAAAAACCCAGAGAAUCUUUAAUCAUUGGAGAGUGUAGAGCACAAAGAGUGGUAAUGGAAUGUAGGUUUAGCUCUAUUGUUGCAAGCUUCAAGAUGAAGCUUGCUCCAACAAUGGAGUUUUGGAUCUUUGGUGUGAGAGGGAAGAGGUGAUUGGUGAUUGAUGCAAAAAAUGAUGAGAGCAGAGUGAAGUGAUGGAAUGAUUUUGAUUCCUAAAGAUUGAAGAGUGGGUGAUUUUAUAUAGAGGGAAAUCCUAACAGAAUCGGGCAAAGGUUUUGGGCAGUGGUUGUUAGAGUUAGGGCAACUGUUAGUGUUAGUUAGCUUCAAGAGGAAAAUGGUUAUGAAUUUGACACUGUUAAAUUAUGUUAGUAGCAGUUAGUUAAAUGUUGAAUUGAGGUGUUAGUAGAUUGAAGUUGGUGAAAUUAGUUAUGUAGUUAGGCUUAAAUGGUUUGAACUUGGAAGUUAGUUGUAGUUAUAACAAUUAGGUAACUUGGUUCAGUUAUUAUGACAGUUGGUGAAGUGGAAAUUUAUGGAAGUUAGAAUUAGUUGUCAUGUUUUCAGUUAUAACAGUUUGGAACCCUACGAUUAUAUAUGGCCUCGUCUAGAAUCAUUCCAUCCUCUGGUUUGUCAGGAACCCUUUGAUUAUAUAUGGCCUCGUCUAGAAUCAUUCCAUCACAUAUGGUUCGUCGGAACACUUCGAUUAUAUCUGACCUCAUCCAGAAUCAAUCAACUACCUAUGGUCCGUCCGGAGCAUUUCAAUCAUCUUUGAUUCGUCUGGAACACUUCGAUUAUAUCUGGCCUCGGCCAAAACCAUUUCUCCAUCAUAUGGUCCAUCUGGAACAUUUCGAUUAGACAUGGCCUCGUCCAGGAUCAUUUCAAAUCAUCUUUGGUUCGUCUGGAACACUUCGAUUACACUUGGCCUCGUCCAGGAUCAUUUCAUCCAAUAACACUUCGAUCUUCUCUAGCCUCAUCCAGAUCUUUUCAUUCUCUCUAUGACACUUGUUUAUCACAUUCUCUUUGGUAUCUUUGCUACAUCCAAGUAGAUGACUCAUUCCAAAUCCUACCUAAGGAUUAUUAGGGCAAAUCUAAGAUUCAAAGGUAUAACAUUAACAUAUGGAUGAAUGUCUGACCGUAUAUCCUCAACGAAGUUAAAUCCUUCAUACAUUUGUUCAUUUCACCAUAAUUUUCCUCUUAAGAGACAAAAUCGAGGUCUCCCUAUAUUUAAUUAUCCUCUACCACGAACGUGCGAAGACUUCGUCCUUCGCACUCUCGAGUUGAAGGGUAAUUAAAUAGGGGCAACUGUCAUACCCCAUUAUUGUCCGGAAUUUUACUAUUAUUUGAGUUUUACUUGUAUUUUAUCUUGAAUGAAUGAGAUAGACCAUUUGGUAGUGAAGUGGGAAUUCAAGGAGGUACAAGCAUGAGGUCAUGAGUUCAAAUACCAUUUCCCCAAUUUUAGAGUUUUUUCUCCUUUUUGUGUUUUACCUUCAUUUAUAUUAUUUUAAAAUUAAAAAAUUGCACUUUUUUUUCUUCGAAUAUUUAUUAAAUUAUUUUUUAAUAAUUAUUAUAUUAUUUAUUUUAAUGUAUUUUUAGUCUAAAAAUCAAAAUCAAAACCAAAAUCUUUUUUAUUCUUGUUAUUAUUAAUAUUAUUCAAUAUUAGUUAUUAUUUUCAAUUAUUACAUUAUUUUUAUUAUUACAUUAAAAUUAUAAAAAAAUCAAAAUCAUUUAAAUUUUAGCUGCUACAUUCGCAUAUGUCAUUAAUCCAUCCAUAUUCAUUUGCUUGGCCAUAAAGAAAUAAAUCAGAUUAAAUCAUAUACAAAACUAUCAAAUCGGAAUCAAUCUCAUUCAAGUCUUGACCUAAUUCUACACUAUAAAUAAGACUUAAUUCUACACUAUAAAUAAGACCUAAAAUUACAAUGAAAAUGCAUUCACUUUUUACAAAAUCAUUAUCCCUAAAAUUGUUGUUCUUCACAACGAAGAAUAACAACAACUAAAUCCUAAAAUCUUAAGCUCCAGUCGCCCUGCAACCAAAAUUUCAGUAGGCAAUCCCUUGCAUCAAACAAAAGAGGAAGGAGAAGUCAGAAACAAUUCAAACAAAAGAAGGAGAAAGAACAAAGAAAAGGAGAGAAAGAAGACGAAAUAUACUUGUGGAGUUCUUCUCGGAUAACUUUCGGGUUGAUAAUCUCUUUACUUUUUUUCUUGGUAUAUUUUUGUGUUGUAUGCACUCAUAAUGUAAUACCUUGUAAAUAAACAAACAAAAUUGAAAUA
Long non-coding RNA from Lathyrus oleraceus (garden pea), 2766 nucleotides. RefSeq lists it as uncharacterized. The transcript has 2 exons. The record is from RefSeq and is a predicted model, not a curated record. NCBI's taxonomy places the organism in Eukaryota, Viridiplantae, Streptophyta, Magnoliopsida, Fabales, Fabaceae.